Molecule: long non-coding RNA, 578 nt
Organism: Herpailurus yagouaroundi (jaguarundi)
Lineage: Eukaryota; Metazoa; Chordata; Mammalia; Carnivora; Felidae
Exons: 2
Source: RefSeq, a predicted model, not a curated record
UCUGGAAAACAGUAUGGAGGUUCCUCAAAAAUUAAAAGUAGAACUACCCUGUGAGCCAGCAAUUGAUCUACUAGGUAUAAACCCAAAGGACACAAAUAUACAGAUUCAAACGGAUACAUGCACCCCUAUGUUUAUAGCAACAUUAUCUCCAAUACUCAAAUAAUUAAAACAGCCCAAAUGUCCACUGAUCGAUGAACGGGUAAGGAAAUGUGAUAUAUAUACACAAUGGAAUAUUACUCAGCCAUCAAAAAUAAUGAAAUCUUGUGAUUUUUCAAGGACAUGGAUGAUACUAGAGGGUAUUAUAAAUGGAAUAAGUCACUGAGAGAAAGACAAAUACCAUGUUAUUUCACUUAUACAUAGAAUUUUAGAAACUAAACAAGCCAGUAAAACAAAAGCGACCCCAGAGUUGUCACUAAUCCAGACUUUCAGGUAUACUAUAAAACUGGUGAUCAAGGCUAUAUGUUACUGACACAAAAACAGACACAUAGAUCAAUGGAAUAGAAUAGAAAACCCAGAAAUUGACACACAACUGUAUGAUCAACUAAUCUUAAGCAAAGCAGGAAAAGAAUAUCCAGUGG